UGGGGAAUAUUGGACAAUGGGCGCAAGCCUGAUCCAGCCAUGCCGCGUGGAUGAUGAAGGCCCUAGGGUUGUAAAGUCCUUUCGACGGGGAAGAUAAUGACGGUACCCGUAGAAGAAGCCCCGGCUAACUUCGUGCCAGCAGCCGCGGUAAUACGAAGGGGGCUAGCGUUGCUCGGAAUCACUGGGCGUAAAGCGCACGUAGGCGGCUUUUUAAGUCAGGGGUGAAAUCCCGGAGCUCAACUCCGGAACUGCCUUUGAUACUGAGAAGCUUGAGUUCGGGAGAGGUGAGUGGAACUGCGAGUGUAGAGGUGAAAUUCGUAGAUAUUCGCAAGAACACCAGUGGCGAAGGCGGCUCACUGGCCCGAUACUGACGCUGAGGUGCGAAAGCGUGGGGAGCAAACA
This 402-nucleotide ribosomal RNA is filed under the name uncultured prokaryote. Its description in RNAcentral is "bacterial SSU rRNA". It matches the Rfam family "Bacterial small subunit ribosomal RNA", at positions 355 to 774 of the family's 1533-position model. The record is from RNAcentral.